Cyprinus carpio (common carp) is the source of this 1224-nucleotide long non-coding RNA. The record is from Ensembl. Lineage: Eukaryota; Metazoa; Chordata; Actinopteri; Cypriniformes; Cyprinidae.
AUGACGAGAUCAGGUGCCUUCAAACUCAGCAUUGUCUUCUUUCUCACCUUAAUCCUGUGUCUACCAGAGUUUUUUCCAGAAAUAUCUCAAGUUGAGUUUAUCUGUGAGCUGUUUGACCCUUGCACUCCUGAAAAUGAUGCACAGGUGUGUACUCCAGAUGACCCUCCAUGUGCGACAGAAAUGAUAAAUGCCAGCAGUCAACAUACACAUGGUGGAGGCUGGUAUCUGUGUAAGACUGAAAUGGAUCUGGAGCUUCUCUAUAACAACACCUCAGAGUCAGGAAAGCAAGUGAUGGUGGUACUGGCAAUGAAGGCAGGCAAUCUCUCUGGAUGGAACAUUAGUGUGUUUGCGUUUCUCAACAACACUGAUCUGUACACUGGACCCCAAAAUGACCAGAGACUCUUCUCCUGCAACCUCCCACCAGACGACAGCAAGUGUCCAGAUCUGAACAUAUCUAUGCAUGAAAACACCAGCACUCCAAUACAAGACACCUCGAUUUUAAAAACCAUAACUUCCGCAAACCCAGCCAACUAUUCGCUUAAAACAACUACACUAUCUUUCCAAGCAACAGCUUCUACGGAUGGGCUGAAGUGCCAAACAAGCAGCAGCAGUUUCCUCUUUUACUACCAAGAGCAAAAUGAAACAGCAAGAUCAGCUGCAUUACAAGCGACGCAAACAAGAAAAAAUGGCCGGUGGUGUGUGAUCACUUCGGUGUGGUUGGCUCUGGUACUGACUGUGCUUGUGGUGACACUAGUGAGUGUGGGCAGUCUGAUCUUCAAGAGCAGAAAACGUAGAAAGUCCAAUUUGGCCACAUUUGUGCCUGUUUCAGCCAGUGGACAUCAGUGCAAAGAGCUCAAGAAACAAAAAGGAAAUUUAAUGAGAGAUGCCCCUGAUGUGUCCAUAGCAAUGUGCAGCAUAAGUGAUGGUGGUGUAUUCUCUCAGAUCUCUUCAGUGGAGAACAGAACAGACGAACACCAUAUGAAAGUUGCUGAUCUCAAGAGAAGAUUGUCACCAGUCUAUGAGAUUACAGAGUCCUCAUUAGAUGAAGAAGAGAAAAGUGAAGAUGAGGAAGAGGGGCAAUGUAAUGUCUCAAUAACAAAGGAAGAGUUUAUAAAGUCAAAUCAGCUCCAACAUCUGGCAGCACAGGGCCACUGUGAACCACCGACUUACCUGCAUCAUCGAAGCUUUUCUUGUUCCUGUCAUGAAGAAGAUGUGGAGCUUUAA